GCUAGUGUGAUGCAGUGGUUUAAGCAUUGGACUAUGACUCUGAAGACCAGGGUUCGAAUCCCCACUUCGUCA
Molecule: transfer RNA, 72 nt
Filed under: Phrynosoma platyrhinos (Desert horned lizard)
Lineage: Eukaryota; Metazoa; Chordata; Lepidosauria; Squamata; Phrynosomatidae
Description: tRNA-OTHER
Source: RNAcentral